Molecule: ribosomal RNA, 466 nt
Filed under: uncultured bacterium
Lineage: Bacteria
Description: bacterial SSU rRNA
Rfam family: Bacterial small subunit ribosomal RNA
Source: RNAcentral
CGCUGGCGGCGUGCUUAACACAUGCAAGUCGAACGGUGAAGCUCCAAGCUUGCUUGGGGGUGGAUCAGUGGCGAACGGGUGAGUAACACGUGAGUAACCUGCCCCCGGACUCUGGAAUAAGCGCUGGAAACGGCGUCUAAUACUGGAUAUGACAUCAAGCCGCAUGGUUAUGGUGUGGAAAGUUUUUCGGUCCGGGAUGGGCUCGCGGCCUAUCAGCUUGUUGGUGAGGUAAUGGCUCACCAAGGCGACGACGGGUAGCCGGCCUGAGAGGGCGACCGGCCACACUGGGACUGAGACACGGCCCAGACUCCUACGGGAGGCAGCAGUGGGGAAUAUUGCACAAUGGGCGAAAGCCUGAUGCAGCGACGCCGCGUGAGGGAUGACGGCCUUCGGGUUGUAAACCUCUUUCAGCAGGGAAGAAGCGAAAGUGACGGUACCUGCAGAAGAAGCACCGGCUAACUACGUG